AGAGUUUGAUCAUGGCUCAGGACGAACGCUGGCGGCGUGCUUAACACAUGCAAGUGGAGCGACGAACCAGGGCUUGCCCUGGGGCAAAGCCGCGAACGGGUGAGUAACACGUGGGUAACCUGCCCCGAUGACCGGGACAACCCGAGGAAACUCGGGCUAAUACCGGAUGUAGAUCCUUCACAUAAGUGAAGUAUUUAAAGGUAGCUUCGGCUUCCGCAUUGGGAGGGGCCCGCGGCCCAUUAGCUUGUUGGUGAGGUAACGGCUUACCAAGGCUUCGAUGGGUAGCUGGUCUGAGAGGACGAUCAGCCACACUGGGACUGAGACACGGCCCAGACUCCUACGGGAGGCAGCAGUGGGGAAUCUUGCGCAAUGCGCGAAAGCGUGACGCAGCAACGCCGCGUGGGGGAAGACGGCCUUCGGGUUGUAAACCCCUUUCAGGAGGGACGAAGGUCGCACGGUUAAUAGCCGGCGCGAUUGACGGUACCUCCAGAAGAAGCCCCGGCUAACUACGUGCCAGCAGCCGCGGUAAUACGUAGGGGGCAAGCGUUGUCCGGAAUUAUUGGGCGUAAAGAGCGCGUAGGCGGUCCGAUAAGUCGGCUGUGAAAGUCAGGGGCUCAACCCUUGAAAGCCGGCCGAUACUGUCGGACUAGAGUCCGGAAGAGGCGAGUGGAAUUCCCGGUGUAGCGGUGAAAUGCGCAGAUAUCGGGAGGAACACCAAUGGCGAAGGCAGCUCGCUGGGACGGUACUGACGCUGAGGCGCGAAAGCGUGGGGAGCAAACAGGAUUAGAUACCCCAGUAGUCC
Molecule: ribosomal RNA, 802 nt
Filed under: uncultured bacterium
Lineage: Bacteria
Description: bacterial SSU rRNA
Rfam family: Bacterial small subunit ribosomal RNA
Source: RNAcentral